This 23-nucleotide non-coding RNA is filed under the name Arabidopsis thaliana (thale cress). The record is from RNAcentral. Lineage: Eukaryota; Viridiplantae; Streptophyta; Magnoliopsida; Brassicales; Brassicaceae.
GGAAGAUUCGGCGUCGGCGGAGG